Molecule: ribosomal RNA, 497 nt
Filed under: uncultured bacterium
Lineage: Bacteria
Description: partial 16S ribosomal RNA
Rfam family: Bacterial small subunit ribosomal RNA
Source: RNAcentral
GAUGAACGCUGGCGGCGUGCCUAAUACAUGCAAGUCGAGCGAACGGACGAGAAGCUUGCUUCUCUGAUGUUAGCGGCGGACGGGUGAGUAACACGUGGAUAACCUACCUAUAAGACUGGGAUAACUUCGGGAAACCGGAGCUAAUACCGGAUGAUAUUUUGAACCGCAUGGUUCAAAAGUGAAAGACGGUCUUGCUGUCACUUAUAGAUGGAUCCGCGCUGCAUUAGCUAGUUGGUAAGGUAACGGCUUACCAAGGCAACGAUGCAUAGCCGACCUGAGAGGGUGAUAGGCCACACUGGAACUGAGACACGGUCCAAACUCCUACGGGAGGCAGCAGUAGGGAAUCUUCCGCAAUGGGCGAAAGCCUGACGGAGCAACGACGCGUGAGUGAUGAAGGUCUUCGGAUCGUAAAACUCUGUUAUUAGGGAAGAACAUAUGUGUAAGUAACUGUGCACAUCUUGACGGUACCUAAUCAGAAAGCCACGGCUAACUACGUG